AAGUCGUAACAAGGUCAUCGUAGGUGAACCUGCGGUGGGAUCAUUAUAAGAUUCUAGGGGAGUACUCGCUUACUGUGUAACAGGGCGGGUGCUACUCCUUAUACCACAUCGUGCGGACUCUAUUGAAUAAUAUGGACGUGCCUCUGAAUCUGUAGAGGAGGGGGCACGUCUUUGCUUGUAAAGCAGCGGCUGAAAUAUAGCACUACAGGGGCUCUAUUAUGAUGACGACACAAUAGUUACAACUAUACAUGGUGGAUCACUUGGCUCUC
Molecule: unclassified non-coding RNA, 269 nt
Filed under: fungal sp.
Lineage: Eukaryota; Fungi
Description: partial internal transcribed spacer region
Rfam family: Eukaryotic small subunit ribosomal RNA (bases 1-46)
Source: RNAcentral